AGACACUAAGCAGUACCUCUCCAUGGUCUGUGCGUCAGCUCCUGCCUCCAGGUUCCUGCUGUUUGAGUUUCUGUCCUGACUUCCUUCAGUGAUAAAAGGUGAAGAGGAAGUGUAAGCUAAAUAACUCCUUUCCUCCUCAAGCUGCCUUGGUCAUGGUGUUUCAUCACAGCAGCUGUGACCUCAACUAACAAAAAUAUUGAUAGCAGAAUAAUGGUGUAUCGCUAUGGCAGAUGUAGCGAUGUAGUCUUGGGAGGAUUAUGGAAGGACUUUGGAAUGUUUCGGUGGAAAACCAUUGAGUAUUGAGAGCUCAGUGGGUUGUUCUUUAGGAUUUUGGAAAAUAAGAUUGUUGAGAGCAGUACAAACGAUGGAGUCCUGGUUUAAGAAGUUUUAGAGAGAGGAAAGUGCAAAGACUAUGUGGAUCAUUUGAUAUUUUGAAUUAAGGUUCUGUGAUUCUGGUCAGCUGGGGCUGAGAGGCAGCCAUGAUUAACAAGAGACCAGCACCAUUAAAGUGAAACCUUUGCUUUACUGGCACAGUUGAUGCUGGUUUAGCUGAGGCUGAGAAAUUAGCAGUGAUUAAGGAAGAAACCAACAUCAGUGAAGUGAGAUCUUCUGGGAAGUUUUUCCUGAGAAGUAGCAAAUAGAAACUGUAUUCCCACGGUGGCCAAGAUUGCACCUGGUUGUGCUGGCAGCCAAAGAAGCUACUGGUGGAAAUGCAGCCCAGUUGCAACAGAGGACCCAGCAUUUUGGAGAGGCCAGUGAUAUGGAUGACCAAGAAAAGCAGCAUUGUGGGAAUGGAGCCAUCCAGAGCCUACACUAUAAAACGUGUGUACUGCAGAAGGCAGAGCCAGAGAAGUGACCCAAGCCCUGUGGAGGAGCUUAGAAGACUAAGACUGUGUCAAAGCUAUAAUAUUGUCUCAGAGAUAACAAAGAGGUCAGAAAACAUUCUUUGGAAAAAAUAACAGAAAGAUCCCUGAUGUCUAAACAACAGAGUCCUCCAACAUGCGAUAAAAUAAAUUUGUCCUUUACAUAUUUAAUUUUGAAUUUUGUCAAGAGCGAUAAUUACCCUGUGUCAUCUCAGAGCCUUGAAACUUUAGGAACCACCCAGCCAUGGCUUUGCCAGAGAGAAACCUGGUUGGAAUCAUUGUACAGAAAAUCUUGUGUUGGACCCCAACGUGAAAGAUCUGGGACCCUGUGCAGAGUGGAUACAGAUACCUUAAAGGCAAAGAGUGACUAGACAGGAAGGACUUCAUUUUAAAUUGACAGGAGGCUCAAAGAAUAAAAUGCGGUUUUAUAGCUCCGA
Molecule: long non-coding RNA, 1300 nt
Organism: Mesocricetus auratus (golden hamster)
Lineage: Eukaryota; Metazoa; Chordata; Mammalia; Rodentia; Cricetidae
Exons: 2
Source: RefSeq, a predicted model, not a curated record